This 425-nucleotide ribosomal RNA is filed under the name uncultured bacterium. RNAcentral describes it as "partial 16S ribosomal RNA". It matches the Rfam family "Bacterial small subunit ribosomal RNA", at positions 354 to 796 of the family's 1533-position model. The record is from RNAcentral.
GUGGGGAAUAUUGGACAAUGGGCGCAAGCCUGAUCCAGCCAUGCCGCGUGAGUGAUGAAGGCCUUAGGGUUGUAAAGCUCUUUCACCGAUGAAGAUAAUGACGGUAGUCGGAGAAGAAGCCCCGGCUAACUUCGUGCCAGCAGCCGCGGUAAUACGAAGGGGGCUAGCGUUGUUCGGAUUUACUGGGCGUAAAGCGCACGUAGGCGGUUUGUUAAGUCAGAGGUGAAAUCCCGGAGCUCAACUCCGGAACUGCCUUUGAUACUGGCAAGCUAGAGUCCGGAAGAGGUAAGUGGAACUCCUAGUGUAGAGGUGGAAUUCGUAGAUAUUAGGAAGAACACCAGUGGCGAAGGUGGCUUACUGGUCCGGAACUGACGCUGAGGUGCGAAAGCGUGGGGAGCAAACAGGAUUAGAAACCCCUGUAGUCC